UCACCGUUACUGUCAAGAAUGAUUGAACAUGGCUGCGCUAGCCAUCUACAGAGUUCAUCACUCGGGUACAAAAUGUACUAGCACAUUACAAUUUGCUUAUUUUUUGUUUUGUUUCAGGAUUGAGUUUUUCGAAAUCUAUGGCUUCAGAUGGGAUUACUUUCGGAGGUGUUGGAUUAGAAAAUUAUUUGUAAAUAAUGUGCGAAAUUCCUCCAAAAAGACAUAAGCAGUAGAAGGCAGAAAAAUUUUAUAGCCGAAAAAUUCCCCACAAUCGUUCGGAUUUUUUCGUUCUUGAUGUGUAUGCCUUGAAACAUUAAAAGAGGAAUGAAAACAUUGACCCAGGACUUCGACCCAGUCUUAUGAACUAGAUCUAAAGUAUGCCUAGGCAAUACAAGAAUGCAAGAUAAA
Daphnia magna is the source of this 405-nucleotide long non-coding RNA. RefSeq lists it as uncharacterized. NCBI's taxonomy places the organism in Eukaryota, Metazoa, Arthropoda, Branchiopoda, Diplostraca, Daphniidae. The record is from RefSeq and is a predicted model, not a curated record. The transcript is spliced from 2 exons.